RNAcentral lists this long non-coding RNA (263 nucleotides) under Lathyrus oleraceus (garden pea). Its description in RNAcentral is "Pisum sativum (pea) long non-coding RNA (PSAT_LNC025412)". The record is from RNAcentral. Lineage: Eukaryota; Viridiplantae; Streptophyta; Magnoliopsida; Fabales; Fabaceae.
AACGGAUCUCUUGGGACCACUGACAGCAAAGAGAAUAAAAAAAAGGAAAUGAAAAGAUCUGGAGGAGGUCUCCACUCACUCCUCAGACUUCACGCUCUCUGAACCUAGAGACAAAAGGAAAAUAAUAAAAGGAAAAAGGAAACUGAGAAACCUCUAACUCACUCAUGACUCCUACUCUCUCUCUCUCACCCACUAAAAAAAAGCAACAGAAAAAAGAAAAAGAAAUUGUUGGCUUUCAUCUCUUUCCACACGUAAACACACAA